CCCAUGGGUAUUUCUGAAACGAAGCU
RNAcentral lists this non-coding RNA (26 nucleotides) under Cricetulus griseus (Chinese hamster). Lineage: Eukaryota; Metazoa; Chordata; Mammalia; Rodentia; Cricetidae. The record is from RNAcentral.